AGUGAACGCUGGCGGUAGGCCUAACACAUGCAAGUCGAACGGCAGCACAGUAAGAGCUUGCUCUUACGGGUGGCGAGUGGCGGACGGGUGAGGAAUACAUCGGAAUCUACUUUUUCGUGGGGGAUAACGUAGGGAAACUUACGCUAAUACCGCAUACGACCUACGGGUGAAAGCAGGGGAUCUUCGGACCUUGCGCGAUUGAAUGAGCCGAUGUCUGAUUAGCUAGUUGGCGGGGUAAAGGCCCACCAAGGCGACGAUCCGUAGCUGGUCUGAGAGGAUGAUCAGCCACACUGGAACUGAGACACGGUCCAGACUCCUACGGGGGGCAGCAGUGGGGAAUAUUGGACAAUGGGCGCAAGCCUGAUCCAGCCAUACCGCGUGGGUGAAGAAGGCCUUCGGGUUGUAAAGCCCUUUUGUUGGGAAAGAAAAGCAGCAGGUUAAUACCCCGCUGUUCUGACGGUACCCAAAGAAUAAGCACCGGCUAACUUCGUG
Molecule: ribosomal RNA, 492 nt
Filed under: uncultured bacterium
Lineage: Bacteria
Description: partial 16S ribosomal RNA
Rfam family: Bacterial small subunit ribosomal RNA
Source: RNAcentral